This 301-nucleotide ribosomal RNA is filed under the name uncultured bacterium. RNAcentral describes it as "partial 16S ribosomal RNA". It matches the Rfam family "Bacterial small subunit ribosomal RNA", at positions 509 to 807 of the family's 1533-position model. The record is from RNAcentral.
CAGCCGCCACGGUAAAACGUAGGGUGCAAGCGUUAAUCGGAAUUACUGGGCGUAAAGCGUGCGCAGGCGGUUCGCUAAGACAGAUGUGAAAUCCCCGGGCUUAACCUGGGAACUGCAUUUGUGACUGGCGGGCUAGAGUAUGGCAGAGGGGGGUAGAAUUCCACGUGUAGCAGUGAAAUGCGUAGAGAUGUGGAGGAAUACCGAUGGCGAAGGCAGCCCCCUGGGCCAAUACUGACGCUCAUGCACGAAAGCGUGGGGAGCAAACAGGAUUAGAUACCCGCGUAGUCCCUGUCUCUUAUAC